AGUAAAGUAAUCUAAAAAAAGAUGGUAAACUGUAAAUUUACUUAUGAAUAAAUAAUUCCUUUACUA
RNAcentral lists this transfer RNA (66 nucleotides) under Scirtothrips dorsalis. RNAcentral describes it as "tRNA-Tyr". Lineage: Eukaryota; Metazoa; Arthropoda; Insecta; Thysanoptera; Thripidae. The record is from RNAcentral.